AGGACGAACGCUGGCGGCGUGCUUAACACAUGCAAGUCGAGCGAGGCCCUCUCUUCGGAGAGGUGCCCUAGCGGCGAACGGGUGAGUAACACGUGGGCAACCUGCCCCUAGCACUGGGAUAAGCCCGGGAAACCGGGUCUAAUACCGGAUAUGACCUUCAAGGGCAUCCUCGAAGGUGUAAAGGAUUCUGGCUAGGGAUGGGCCCGCGGCCUAUCAGCUUGUUGGUGGGGUAACGGCCCACCAAGGCAACGACGGGUAGCCGGCCUGAGAGGGCGACCGGCCACACUGGGACUGAGACACGGCCCAGACUCCUACGGGAGGCAGCAGUGGGGAAUAUUGCACAAUGGGCGAAAGCCUGAUGCAGCGACGCCGCGUGAGGGAUGACGGCCUUCGGGUUGUAACCUCUUUCAGCUCCGACGAAGCGAAGUGACGGUAGGAGCAGAAGAAGCGACCGGCCAACGUACGUGCCAGCAGCCGC
RNAcentral lists this ribosomal RNA (478 nucleotides) under uncultured bacterium. RNAcentral describes it as "SSU rRNA". It matches the Rfam family "Bacterial small subunit ribosomal RNA", at positions 26 to 518 of the family's 1533-position model. The record is from RNAcentral.